Musa acuminata AAA Group (dessert banana) is the source of this 755-nucleotide long non-coding RNA. RefSeq lists it as uncharacterized. The record is from RefSeq and is a predicted model, not a curated record. Lineage: Eukaryota; Viridiplantae; Streptophyta; Magnoliopsida; Zingiberales; Musaceae. The transcript has 2 exons.
UAAUGUGCUGACCUCCAGAGCAUAGGCAAUGGCUUUUUGAGUUAAAUACAUUUUUAUUUUUGGUAAAAAAAAUUAUAUAGCUUGGACAACAAAAUUGGCCCAUUCCAGCUAGCCCGGACCGGUCCACCUCUGAUUUGUGUCCGGUUGACCGAUACGAAGCCGAAACAAACCCACCACUUGAGGACUAUUUGAUGCACGCAUUGGCGAUGUGGCCGGAAUUCCCAACUCGCAGUCAGAUUGGACGGGGAAAGGGUUUGGUGUAAGAAAAGAUGAAGCAGCCGCCGGCGUCGUAUCUGUACCACCAGCAGCAGCAGCAGGAGGAGAUGGAGGAGGCGGUGGCGGUGACCGUGGGGAUGGAGGUGGACGACGCCGAUCCCAUCGAGAUCCUCUCCGACUUCGACCGCCAGCAGCCCCCUGUCGACGCCGACUUCUUCAACUCCUUCGACGAUGACUUCGACGACCAAGACCUUGCUUGAAGGCACCUGCUCUUCCUCCUCGUUCUCUUCUGGUUGAUGUGUUAUCGUUCUGUGAUACCUCAGCUGAGUUGGUGCGAGGUGGAAAUAAGGUGACAUGGAAUUCUGUCAGAUUAGUUGGUGUGGAAUGUCUCUUAUGGAGUCUUUCAUGGUAUCAUGCUGCCAUGUGUACGUAUGUGUAUCGAUUGUCAUGCUAUAAAACAAUUUCAGAACUGAUUAUGUUUUGAACAGCGGAGUUGCAUAGCUUCUAUAAUGAAUCGGCAGCAUGUUGGACUGAGCCAA